RNAcentral lists this ribosomal RNA (434 nucleotides) under uncultured bacterium. Its description in RNAcentral is "partial 16S ribosomal RNA". It matches the Rfam family "Bacterial small subunit ribosomal RNA", at positions 29 to 507 of the family's 1533-position model. The record is from RNAcentral.
AGCGAACGCUGGCGGCAGGCCUAACACAUGCAAGUCGAACGAACCUUUCGGGGUCUGUGGCGUACGGGUGUGUCAUCCGUCGGAACGUUCCCUCAUGUUCGGCAUACCUCAGGGAGACUUGUGCUAAUACCGAAUGUGCCCUUCUGGGGAAUGAUUUAUUGCCUCUAGAGCGGCCCGCGUCUGAUUAGCUAUUUCGUUGAGGUAUUGGCUCACCAGCGCGACGAUCAGUAUCUGGUCUGAGAGAAAGGUCAGACACAUUGGGGCCGAGACACGGCCCAAACUCCUACGGGAGGCAGCAGUGGGGAAUCUUGCACAAUGGGCGAAAGCAUGAAGCAGCCAUGCCGGGAGAAUGAUGAAGGUCGGAGGAAAGUAAAAUUCUUUCAACGGGGAAGAUAAUGACGGUACCCGGAGAAAAAGCCCCGGCUAACUACGUG